GUGGGGAAUUUUGGACAAUGGGCGCAAGCCUGAUCCAGCCAUGCCGCGUGCAGGAUGAAGGCCUUCGGGUUGUAAACUGCUUUUGUACGGAACGAAAAGACUCCUUCUAAUAAAGGGGGUCCAUGACGGUACCGUAAGAAUAAGCACCGGCUAACUACGUGCCAGCAGCCGCGGUAAUACGUAGGGUGCGAGCGUUAAUCGGAAUUACUGGGCGUAAAGCGUGCGCAGGCGGUUAUGUAAGACAGAUGUGAAAUCCCCGGGCUCAACCUGGGAACUGCAUUUGUGACUGCAUAGCUAGAGUACGGCAGAGGGGGAUGGAAUUCCGCGUGUAGCAGUGAAAUGCGUAGAUAUGCGGAGGAACACCGAUGGCGAAGGCAAUCCCCUGGGCCUGUACUGACGCUCAUGCACGAAAGCGUGGGGAGCAAACAGGAUUAGAAACCCCAGUAGUCC
Molecule: ribosomal RNA, 450 nt
Filed under: uncultured bacterium
Lineage: Bacteria
Description: partial 16S ribosomal RNA
Rfam family: Bacterial small subunit ribosomal RNA
Source: RNAcentral